This 1093-nucleotide ribosomal RNA is filed under the name Triticum aestivum (bread wheat). Its description in RNAcentral is "partial small subunit ribosomal RNA". The record is from RNAcentral. Lineage: Eukaryota; Viridiplantae; Streptophyta; Magnoliopsida; Poales; Poaceae.
CCUAAACAAGUACCUAUACGUCACACUGUUCAGCACACUCUACUUCCACCACUUGGCAGAGUUACAAUUCGGUUCAUACACCUCCUAUACGGUACCUACUACACCUGUCCAUUCCCAUUUUCAAACUCGACAGUUAAAAACACACUAGCUCGAGGACAUACCAGUUUGGAUUUUUCAAGUCACUUCUAAGUCUAAUGUAUACCUAAGGAAAACAACGGAUGUUACGAUAUUAGUGCGAGUUGAUACACGUACCUCAUGGUCUCUACUACGUUUUUAACGAACGGCUAUCCGUCGACCCGCGUACGUAUUAACAGCUCCUCCGGCUUCGGUUGCGAUAAGACCAAACUGACUUAUUGCAUAGGACUCCGAGGGAACACCACCUCUAGCUGAUACGUCUCCCCUUUCCUCGAUCCCCGACUAAGACAUUCGUCUAGUAACAGGAUGGGUUAAUAACAACUAUAAUUUAGACGGAACUUAUUUAUAGUGUAGUCCUGACAGUCUUCCUGUUUGUUACCCGACCGAGUACUUGAUCGGUUGAAAAGGUUUCGAGUACCUCUGAAACACCAACGCCUACCACAGGGUCUGGUUGAUGUACUAGAUGAGGCCUUCCUUUUACUACGUCGGAAUCGCAGCCAUAGUCCGUAAAACUACCUACAUUUCGCCUGAACUAACAGACACUACCGCGGGGACUAAAUCUAGAGUCUAUGAAAAACCUGCAUUAAACGUCAUGGGUAUUCUACGUCACAGGUUUUUAUUACGAUGGAAUUGGGACGUCAAAUACAAAUCAUAAGAUGGAAUUUUACAAAUGAAAACCGCGUUAUCGAAGAAACCUAAAAAUAUAACUUGUAACCUGGUAAAAAUGAGUUGGAAACCUAUUAAACAACGACAAAUACAACAUCUUGUUGUGUACAUUGUGUUACCAAGGUGAUUGAACAAUAUAAAAGGUGAUUACAGGAAGGACGAAGGUAGAUGUAACGACGGGGUAGUGAGGAGAUGGUUUAGGGUCGAAGUACCACCUAAGUAGAUGUCCUUAGGUGUGGAUGCCGUCAAGAGGAUCUUUGGUAGACGGGCUUCAAGUAGAGGGAUGGUGAGA